UCGUCAGUUCGCCCUGCGAACUGGCCAUCGACCUUCUAAGCCGAGGGGCGGGGGUUCGAGUCCCUCCUGUUGCACCA
This 77-nucleotide transfer RNA is filed under the name Burkholderia pseudomallei. RNAcentral describes it as "tRNA-Arg". The record is from RNAcentral. Lineage: Bacteria; Pseudomonadati; Pseudomonadota; Betaproteobacteria; Burkholderiales; Burkholderiaceae.